This 497-nucleotide ribosomal RNA is filed under the name uncultured bacterium. RNAcentral's name for it is "partial 16S ribosomal RNA". It matches the Rfam family "Bacterial small subunit ribosomal RNA", at positions 28 to 507 of the family's 1533-position model. The record is from RNAcentral.
GACGAACGCUGGCGGCGUGCCUAAUACAUGCAAGUUGAGCGCUGAAGGUUGGUACUUGUACCAACUGGAUGAGCAGCGAACGGGUGAGUAACGCGUGGGGAAUCUGCCUUUGAGCGGGGGACAACAUUUGGAAACGAGUGCUAAUACCGCAUAAAAACUUUAAACACAAGUUUCACGUUUGAAAGAUGCAAUUGCAUCACUCAAAGAUGAUCCCGCGUUGUAUUAGCUAGUUGGUGAGGUAAAGGCUCACCAAGGCGAUGAUACAUAGCCGACCUGAGAGGGUGAUCGGCCACAUUGGGACUGAGACACGGCCCAAACUCCUACGGGAGGCAGCAGGAGGGAAUCUUCGGAAAUGGACGAAAGUCUGACCGAGCAACGCCGCGGGAGUGAAGAAGGUUUUCGGAUCGUAAAACUCUGUUGGUAGAGAAGAACGUUGGUGAGAGUGGAAAGCUCAGCAAGUGACGGUAACUACCCAGAAAGGGACGGCUAACUACGUG